UGGAAUAACGACAAUGAAAACACUAAAAACUAACAUCUGACUCUCUAUAAAGCCUCUAAUAACAACUGAGAUGGAUGUUGGGACAUACCCCACAACAUCCUAAUAAACUAAACUAGAAAGCAAUGAAAUGGAUCCUCCGAAAAGCAAGGAGGCUCACCAACAGACUCUGGACUGCUCACUGGAUCAACGACGCUCGGGAUGCCGAUCCUAGUUAC
Molecule: long non-coding RNA, 215 nt
Filed under: Solanum tuberosum (potato)
Lineage: Eukaryota; Viridiplantae; Streptophyta; Magnoliopsida; Solanales; Solanaceae
Description: long non-coding RNA (STUB_LNC010024)
Source: RNAcentral